UACGUAGGCAGCGAGCGUUGUUCGGAGUUACUGGGCGUAAAGGGCGCGUAGGCGGGAUGGCAAGUCGGUCGUGAAAUCCCUCGGCUCAACUGAGGAACGUCGAUCGAUACUGCUGUUCUUGAGGAUUGCAGAGGAGACUGGAAUUCCCGGUGUAGCGGUGAAAUGUGUAGAGAUCGGGAGGAACACCGGUGGCGAAGGCGGGUCUCUGGGCAAUUCCUGACGCUGAGGCGCGAAAGCGUGGGGAGCAAACGGG
Molecule: ribosomal RNA, 253 nt
Filed under: uncultured bacterium
Lineage: Bacteria
Description: partial 16S ribosomal RNA
Rfam family: Bacterial small subunit ribosomal RNA
Source: RNAcentral